RNAcentral lists this ribosomal RNA (488 nucleotides) under uncultured bacterium. Its description in RNAcentral is "partial 16S ribosomal RNA". It matches the Rfam family "Bacterial small subunit ribosomal RNA", at positions 28 to 507 of the family's 1533-position model. The record is from RNAcentral.
GACGAACGCUGGCGGCGUGCUUAACACAUGCCAGUCGAACGGAAAGGCCCUGCUUUUGUGGGGUGCUCGAGUGGCGAACGGGUGAGUAACACGUGAGUAACCUGCCCUUGACUUUGGGAUAACUUCAGGAAACUGGGGCUCAUACCGGAUAGGAGCUCCUGCUGCAUGGUGGGGGUUGGCACGGUUCGGCGGUUGGGGAGGGACUCGCGGCGUAUCAGCUUGUUGGUGGGGUAGUGGCUUACCACGGCUUUGACGGGUAGUCGGACUGAGAGGACGACCGGCCACCUGGGGGCGGGGACACGGCCCAGACGCCUACGAGAGGCCGCAGUCGCGAAUGGUGGACAAUGGGCGGAAGCAUUAUACAGCAAGGCCGAGUGCAGGACGAAGGCCUCCGGGUUGUAAACUGCUUUUGUGCGGAACGAAACGGCUCUGGUUAAUACCAGGGGCGAAUGACGGUACUGUAAGAAGAAGCACCGGCUAACUACGUG